AGAGUGAACGCUGGCGGCAGGCCUAACACAUGCAAGUCGAACGGCAGCACAGGGGAGCUUGCUCCCUGGGUGGCGAGUGGCGGACGGGUGAGGAAUGCGUCGGAAUCUGCCUUUUCGUGGGGGAUAACGUAGGGAAACUUACGCUAAUACCGCAUGCGACCCUGGUCCGGGAGGAUCAGGGUGAAAGCGGGGGACCUUCGGGCCUCGCGCGGAAAGAUGAGCCGACGCCGGAUUAGCUAGUUGGCGGGGUAACGGCCCACCAAGGCGACGAUCCGUAGCUGGUCUGAGAGGAUGAUCAGCCACACUGGAACUGA
This 314-nucleotide ribosomal RNA is filed under the name uncultured soil bacterium. RNAcentral's name for it is "bacterial SSU rRNA". It matches the Rfam family "Bacterial small subunit ribosomal RNA", at positions 26 to 322 of the family's 1533-position model. The record is from RNAcentral.